GAUGGCGACCGGCGCACGGGUGAGUAACACGUAUCCAACCUGCCGAUGACUCGGGGAUAGCCUUUCGAAAGAAAGAUUAAUACCCGAUGGCAUAGUUCUUCCGCAUGGUGGAACUAUUAAAGAAUUUCGGUCAUCGAUGGGGAUGCGUUCCAUUAGGUUGUUGGCGGGGUAACGGCCCACCAAGACUACGAUGGAUAGGGGUUCUGAGAGGAAGGUCCCCCACAUUGGAACUGAGACACGGUCCAAACUCCUACGGGAGGCAGCAUG
This 267-nucleotide ribosomal RNA is filed under the name uncultured bacterium. Its description in RNAcentral is "partial 16S ribosomal RNA". It matches the Rfam family "Bacterial small subunit ribosomal RNA", at positions 87 to 353 of the family's 1533-position model. The record is from RNAcentral.